AACGCUAGCGGCAGGCCUAACACAUGCAAGUCGAGGGGUAACAGGGAGCUUGCUCCGCUGACGACCGGCGCACGGGUGCGCACCGCGUAUGGAACCUACCUUUUACAGGGGAAUAGCCCAGGGAAACUUGGAUUAAUGCCCCGUGGUACUAUUAUGUGGCAUCACAUUAUAGUUAAAGCCUUCGGGCGGUAGAAGAUGGCCAUGCGUCCCAUUAGUUUGUUGGUAAGGUAACGGCUUACCAAGACUACGAUGGGUAGGGGCCCUGAGAGGGGGAUCCCCCACACUGGUACUGAGACACGGACCAGACUCCUACGGGAGGCAGCAGUGAGGAAUAUUGGACAAUGGAGGAGACUCUGAUCCAGCCAUGCCGCGUGCAGGAAGAAUGCCCUAUGGGUAGUAAACUGCUUUUAUACAGGAAGAAAAAGGGGCACGUGUGCCCUACUGACGGUACUGUAAGAAUAAGGACCGGCUAACUCCGUGCCAGCAGCCGCGGUAAUACGGAGGGUCCGAGCGUUAUCCGGAAUUAUUGGGUUUAAAGGGUCCGUAGGCGGGCGAUUAAGUCAGUGGUGAAAGUCUGUAGCUCAACUAUAGAAUUGCCUUUGAUACUGAUUGUCUUGAGUUAUAGUGAAGUUGCCGGAAUAUGUAGUGUAGCGGUGAAAUGCAUAGAUAUUACAUAGAACACCGAUUGCGAAGGCAGGUGACUAACUAUAUACUGACGCUGAUGGACGAAAGCGUGGGGAGCGAACAGGAUUAGAUACCCUGGUAGUCCACGCCGUAAACGAUGGAUACUAGCUGUCCGGAACCUUGAGUUCUGGGCGGCCAAGCGAAAGUGAUAAGUAUCCCACCUGGGGA
This 852-nucleotide ribosomal RNA is filed under the name Maribacter arcticus. Its description in RNAcentral is "bacterial SSU rRNA". It matches the Rfam family "Bacterial small subunit ribosomal RNA", at positions 32 to 879 of the family's 1533-position model. The record is from RNAcentral. Lineage: Bacteria; Pseudomonadati; Bacteroidota; Flavobacteriia; Flavobacteriales; Flavobacteriaceae.